GGGGGGGGGGGGCGGGGGGCCGGGCGCGGGCGGGUCGGGCGGGCGGGGCGGGGGUGGUGGCGGGCGGGGGAGGAGCACGUGGGGGCGUGCCUGUAGGUUCGGAAGAACUCAGGGGGACUUGAGCUCAUCCCGCAUGUGCCCUUCGGGGGGUAGAUUAAUCGCCUUUAGAGCGGCCCGGGUCUGAUUAGCUAGUUGGUUGAGGUAAUGGCUCACCAAGGCGACGAGCAGUAGCUGGCCUGAGAGGAUGAUCAGCCACAGUGGGACUGAGACACGGCCCAAACUCCUACGGGAGGCAGCAGUGGGGAAUCUUGCGCAAUGGGCGAAAGCCUGACGCAGCCAUGCCGGGUGAAUGAUGAAGGUCUUAGGAUUGUAAAAUUCUUGCACCGGGGACGAUAAUGACGGUACCCGGAGAAGAAGCCACGGCUAACUUCGUG
RNAcentral lists this ribosomal RNA (434 nucleotides) under uncultured bacterium. Its description in RNAcentral is "partial 16S ribosomal RNA". It matches the Rfam family "Bacterial small subunit ribosomal RNA", at positions 38 to 507 of the family's 1533-position model. The record is from RNAcentral.